Molecule: long non-coding RNA, 513 nt
Filed under: Ananas comosus (pineapple)
Lineage: Eukaryota; Viridiplantae; Streptophyta; Magnoliopsida; Poales; Bromeliaceae
Description: long non-coding RNA (ACOM_LNC033208)
Source: RNAcentral
UUUGCGUUGACGAAUGUAAGGUAUUGGACUUCUAAAAUUAUGAAGUUACAGUGUACAUUUGGUUGGAAAGCCAUUUGAAUGGUUCCGGUGAGAUUGCGGUGGAAUGUAAUAUACCGAAUUUUAAAUAUAAAAAUGGAAAUGAAUAAAAAUAGUAUGAGAUACUAUUUUUAUUGGAUUUAGAGAAGUGAAAUAAAAGUUGGAAAUGACCUGUGCUGAAAUCGGAGCGAAAACAGAAGAUUUAGAAUUUUCUGUGAGAGACAGGACAGAUAAAUUAGCAGAAAAUGCACAGUGUCAGAAAAUUAUGAAAGCUGGAAGAUAUGUCAGAAUUAUUUUUGUGAGGCAAGAUUUCAAGUUUCAUGUCAUUCUGACAUCCGGAAGGUAGAAAAUAAAAUCCGACAGCUAUCUGAUAAAGAUUACAGUUCGGUACAGUUUUCAGUGACCAAACGGGGUCGAAAUUAAAAACUUAAGAUAUAUUCUUACUCAGUACGUUAAACUGAGCCUGUCUGUCAAAUU